UCCUGACCUUUCAGAUAUGCUGAAAUUUGAGAGUGAGAAACACCAAGACAUUCUUAUGUGGAACUACAGAGACACCUUCUUCAACUUAUCUCUGAAAGAAGUACUCUUUCUCAGGGAGUCUCCUUCACUGAGAUUUCAAGUCUACAGAGAAAGAAGAGAUGUAGCAGGUUUUGAAACAUGUUUGGAGGACCACUGAGGGCCUUUGGUGAGCCUCUUCUUGACAUGUGCCAUUAUUCGAACAUCAGUCCUUGGUGCUGACAAUGUCUGAUCAGCCAAAAGAACCAGGAGGGCUAGGGGGAAAUUCUCCCCUCUCCGACAGUUUUGGUGUCGUUGGCUGGAUACUGCUUGGCUACUGCUUGCUCCUGGGACUGUUGCAGAUAAAGAGAUCCUGGAACUUCUGAAGAAAACCUGGCAGAAGGAGACCUUCCACAUAAAAAUUCUGAUUUUGGAUUCUUUUGGAAAAAUGGAAAUACCUGGUAACACUAGCCCAGACCUCCACCGUGUAGCAACCAGCCAAAUUGAGAAGUGUUACAGGAACAUGCCGUCCAGGGAACCACAGACCCCACCACUCCCUGGUGCCCUUAAAGCCCACUUCCUGUAUCUGUGCUUCAGCCUCAACAUCAGCCUCUGGUUUGCAAUCCAUAAGAACUUUCCUUUCCUUCCUUCUGGGCCUUCACUCUCCUUCCCUGGGCCCAGCCAUCACGGGUCAGGUCGGGCUGGGCCAAAGUGGGUGCUUGACUUUCCCUUCCUUUUCAUGAUGUUUUUCUACCAAAUCGUUUUUCUGUGCUCUGAAACCUUUUUGGUCCCCCAAGAGUGGAGGAUUUUGAAACUCAAAAGCCAGAAGGAGACACUUCUCCCUCCUCCAUCCCCUCCGGGGCAGUGCUUCAUAUCACAUCCCUUCCCUGAGGGAGUGCGAAAGAACAGCCUGAGACUUUAAAAGGGGAAACAGCAGACCAGGAUGGGAAGGAAACCAGGGGGGAAAUUUGGUUAAGAAGGAGAUAUGGGUCUUAGACAUAUCAGAUUUGCAACUAUUAAAACGUUGGAUGAUAUCAAGUGACACAAAAGGUGAAGGAAAGCAGAAUAUCUCAUAGGAAUGUUAACUAAUCUUUCUAGGAAGCAGAUUGACAGUGUUAAGUGAUGUGGAAUAUGGGCCACUCCUACAACCCAGUACUUGGGGACGCUGAGCCCAGAGACAUUCUUGCCCAGGCCCCCAAAGAAACAUGUGUGGAUUUGUUCUUGGAGAAUUGUUUGUAAUAAUGAAGAUUUGGAAACACCUAGAAGUUUAUUCAUAGGAAAGUAGUUACAUAAAAGGUUAUAUGAAAAUGCUGAGUACCAUUCAGCAGAUAAAAGGAAUGCUCUGGUCCAUAUUUACUUAUAUUAACUUGCAGCCAUCUCAAAAUCUCAUAGUCUUGACUGGAAAAAAGUGAGAAAAGAAUGACAUGUUUACCAAAGACUACUUAAGCAUAUUUUUAAAAAUAUGCACAAAAUAAUACCAAUAUUGGGCCUAGAUACACAUAGAAAUAUAGAUUGGCCAGACACAAAGAAUCACAAGGACGUAAGAGGAGAAAAAUGAGAUUGGGGAUGGGGUGAAGGGGUCAAGAAAAUAAAGUAAAAUAAAAGUGAGCCCUGCAUAUGCUAAUAAAGAUGGUAUGCAUGUGGCUAAUUGAUCCUGAGCAAAGGAGGUCUCGGCAAACAGAAAACUACAGCAAAACAAAACAUCAGUUAAUGUUUAAAAUAUUAACCUGAUGCCUGUGGAAAGAGAACUCUGUGAAUAACCAAAGGUCUGAUGAGUGCCCAGAGGUGACCGAGCAGUCCUGCAGUCCCUGUGAUUCCCUCCAACUGAUCUCCUGCUGGGGUCACUCCAUAGCUUGGCCUUGAGUUGCUUUUAUCCACAGACUUUCAGCCUCCCAGCACCGCUGACUGCUCUCAGGAAAACUGUUGGAUCACGAGAUUUUCCCACAGAGAUCGUCACCAUGGGGUAUCUUCAACCUGUUAUUAGCCUCGAGUUCCUCCAGCAAAGUCAGGAUAUCCUGGGAACGAGUACUCCUCCAGCCCCUGAAGCCUCCUUUUUAAUGCGCCUUCAGUACCCAAAACUUUCUCAGACAGAGUGUUAUAUGAGGUCCAGCUUUUUUUGCUUGGGGUGUGGAGGACAGAGGUGAGCGGUUCUGGCCAGCAGCUCUGUUUCCCCUUGAAGCCCCACUCUUGGGGAGCGAGGGGGAGAAAGAGAGACGAGGAGCUAUUUGCUGUCUCCCUAAUCCAUCCUUCUCUCUCUUUCUCUUCCCCUCCCUCCUUUCCUUAGAAACAUAUAUUCAGUGCUGAGUGUACACAAGGCAUGUGGCAGCCCCCAUUGAAUCUGGCAUUGUCCCCUGCCCUCAAGGAGAGUCAAGUCCGGGGGGGAGCAAGCGGUGAGUGUGGUCAAGCAUGGUAGGGAUUUGUGAGGGGCGAGGGAGCUAUGAGACCACAGAGGCGGGCAGCUAUAUCACAUGGGAGGCUUCUUGGAGGUGGUCCUCCUUGAGCUGAGUCUGAAAGGGUAAAUAGAGGUAACAAGAAGGGGAAUAAUGGGGGAAAGGUAUUCUAUUGCAAUGGCUGGGAGGCAUGAAACAGCAGGACAUAGAGGGAGCUGUCAGCAGUUCAUCAUGUCUGGAUUUGGGGCUCCGGAAGAGCCUUGGGUGCUAGGACUUCGCUCAUGUUCUAUCUUCUCCCUGAAGCCUGCAGAACUACCCCAGUCCUGCCAGAUCCCCCUCUUCUGAAAUCUUGGACCAACCUUUUAUAAUUGCAUGUUCCCCUACUGUUAUGGGGUGUGUGUGUGUGUGUGUGUGUGUGUGUGUGUGUAUGUGUGUGUGAGUGUGAAGGUUUUGUUUCCCAGUCUCAACUUGGAGAGGGGCCCACAAGCCCAGGGUUUCUCCCACCCAGUGCCUUGCAUCCAGCCUUCACCCCACCGAGAGGGUGUACUGUUCAGUGGGGAAGCAGACUGAGGCGGCGGGUAGCAGCACCAAAUCCCACAUAGUGCGUUGGGUUUUCAGCCUGAGCGGCUUCUGUAGGGAUAUGUCUGACCGGGCUGUCAUCUGGGCCAAUGCCCAGGUGAAUGUUCUUCUCAGAGGGAGACCUGAAAGCCCUGGUAUUCAGCCUCUCAGAUGGUGCCCAGUGAGCCCCACCUCCCGGUUUUCAUGGUCUUGUGCAGUCUCCUCCCACAUUGUGUCAGGAUUGAGCGGUAUGACCAACAAAAUACAGCAGAUUGAUGGCAUAUGCCUUUGAGGCUAGCUCAAUAAAAGACACUGUGACUUCUGCAUUAGUUCCUGUCUUGGACUGCUCACUCUGGAAGAAGCCAGCUGCCAUGUCGUCAGGACACACAAGCAGCCCUAUCAAAGGUCCAUGUGGUACAGAACCGAGGCCUCCUGCCAACAGCCAUGAGAGGAGCCAUCUUGCAUGUGGACCCCCAGCUCCAAUCAAGCCUUCAGAUGACAGCAGCCCCGUUCAACAUCUUGAGACCUUGAGCCAGAACAACCCAGCUCAGGUGCUUCCCUUGAUGGGAUCAAUAGCCCAGCAGCAGAUGCAGAAGAACUCUCCUCUGAACUUUCCUUAUCUGCCUGGCACAGAGCAUGGAGAAUCAGCAGCCACCCCCCCACCUCCACCCUCCAGCUGGUCUCCAGUCAGGGAGGCACUGACCUUGGGCACCAGGACAUUCCCAAAGAAAUUGUAUAAGAAUCCUAAGGCACAGAGAGGUUAAGCAAUUUGCUCAAGGUCACACAGCGAGUAGUAGCAGCAUAGGAAUUUGCACAUGGGCAGCCUGGCUGUGCACUCUGUCCUGAGCUCAGCCAGGCACCUGCGGAGAGACCCUCACACUUCCCGUCUGCCUACACCAGUGGUUCUCAACCAAGAGCAAUUUUGCCCCCCGAAGGACAUGUGGUGAUGUCUAGAGACAUUUUUGAUUGUUGUGACCAGAAGGCUGCUACUGGCACCUAGGGUCUUUACAUGUGGAAGAGGGAGGCAGAACAUUGAUGCCCUGGGAGAAAGUCUCCACCAGCUAUUGAAGACGGGAGGGAGCCAGAAGCCCAGAAAAGCCGGCGACCCCUAGAAGCUGGAAAAGGCAAGAGAACCGGUUCUCUCCUAGAGCCUCCAGAAAAGGAACUUGGCCCUGCUAACACCUUGCUUUGAGCCCAGGGGUCCAAAACCACCUCCCUUUCUGGAACAGAUAGGACUCCGUGCAGGUGGGUGCCAAGCUGGGCUCACACGCUCCACAGGACACUGCCUCAGCCCUGGACAUGGGACGUGGUACUUCCUCUCCGAGUCGGGCCCCCAGGCCUUCUUCACCUGCCCUUCGCUGUCCCGGAGGCUCGGUCAGCCAGCACAGGUGCUGAACAUUCAUGAUCCACUUGGUCAGUGGGGCUUCAUUUUAUUUGCUCAAGCCAUACCUGCCACAAAUUCCAGAAGAUAAAAACCAAGGAGUAGGGCUUCCCUGGUGGUGCAGUGGUUGAGAG
This is an RNA transcript of Aethalodelphis obliquidens (Pacific white-sided dolphin), 4478 nucleotides long. It is a transcript of the gene named UDP-GlcNAc:betaGal beta-1,3-N-acetylglucosaminyltransferase 2, with no coding region annotated. Lineage: Eukaryota; Metazoa; Chordata; Mammalia; Artiodactyla; Delphinidae. The transcript is spliced from 10 exons. The record is from RefSeq and is a predicted model, not a curated record.